This 449-nucleotide ribosomal RNA is filed under the name uncultured bacterium. RNAcentral describes it as "partial 16S ribosomal RNA". It matches the Rfam family "Bacterial small subunit ribosomal RNA", at positions 29 to 523 of the family's 1533-position model. The record is from RNAcentral.
AACGAACGCUGGCGGCAUGCCUAACACAUGCAAGUCGAACGAGAUCUUCGGGUCUAGUGGCGCACGGGUGCGUAACGCGUGGGAAUCUGCCCUUUGGUUCGGAAUAACAGUUGGAAACGACUGCUAAUACCGGAUGAUGACGAAAGUCCAAAGAUUUAUCGCUAGAGGAUGAGCCCGCGUAGGAUUAGCUAGUUGGUGUGGUAAAGGCGCACCAAGGCGACGAUCCUUAGCUGGUCCGAGAGGAUGAUCAGCCACACUGGGACUGAGACACGGCCCAGACUCCUACGGGAGGCAGCAGUGGGGAAUAUUGGACAAUGGGCGAAAGCCUGAUCCAGCAAUGCCGCGUGAGUGAUGAAGGCCUUAGGGUUGUAAAGCUCUUUUACCCGGGAUGAUAAUGACAGUACCGGGAGAAUAAGCUCCGGCUAACUCCGUGCCAGCCGCCGCAGUAA